GAUGCUGGGCUCUGCUGGCUCCUUUCACCUUGGGCUGAGCAGAGCCAGCCCCAAGCAGCUGCUCCUGGCAGUCCUCGUUGUCCUCCUGACAGAGACAGCAAGGGAGAUGUGGCUCUGAGAGCUCCAGCUGCUGGGAAAAGGCCCAUCACUGAGGUACUUCAGCACAACCUUCAUUUUAAAUGGCUUCCCUAGCGUUGCUGCAGUGCUUCCAGUUGUGGAAAUGCUGAAGCACCUGCCCAGACUGGAGUGGGAAAUACUGAUAAGAGAGGGAGGAGGAAUAAAAGUGCAGCUGCAGGAAUUCAAGGUGACAGAAAAACAACAUUUGGGAGGCAUUUACAUGUGUCAGCCUCGCUGUGUGCAGGUACUUUCCUCGCUUUACAGGAAGAUUUCAUCUCUGCACGUAUAGAAAAGAAGAAUUCUUUUCCCAGGUAAUAUUCAUUUUGGAGGCAUUAACAUUUAUCAACUUAUCUGAGGAUGAAAUGAAGCUUUUCUGAAGUUUAUCCCCUGAUAAUUUGGGCCCUGAGUUGACCUAAGUUUGGUUCCUGGACCUGGACAGUUGCCCUGUUCUGGGCAGGGAUGAACAAGUAACUAGAGGAGAGGAGGGGGGAGCAAGGACAGGAUCAGCAUUUAGGGUGAAAAUGCAAAAAGUCACAUUUCAACUAAAGAAAAACUGUGGAAAAGAUUAAUUUGAGAAAGUAUUUUAAACAUGCUUUGAAUGAAAAUGAAGUAGAAUGAAGUAAAUGCACAAAUGAAAUAAAAAAAAAAGUUCUAAAAUAUUUGCUGCAUAGUUAAAACCACUCAUUCUUUAACUCAGAUAAGCUGAGUUGUUGCUUAACAAACUCAAAGAGGAUGGCAGUGCCACUGCACUGUUGUUAUCUUCAAGGCCAGCUUGUUUAAGAAUAGAAAACUUGGGCUCAAUUCCUCCAUCAGCCUGAGGGCAUUUGAGUCCUGCCCAGGAACUUGCUCAAAUCAUGAUGAAGUAUCUAAUUUUAAAAAAUUUGUAUUUUUCUGUGAAACAUUACUUAUCAGCCUUUUUCUCACUGUGGAACAUGGUGCAGGGAAUCUAUAUUUUUUUUUCUGGUUCACGGAGGUUACCCUCUUCUUUUCGCAGGAGAAAUCAGCAUAUUUCAAUGUUAAACAAAACUCUUGAGUUAAUCAUUUCCCUGUGUAUUGGGCUCAUUAGGAAGCAUCAGCCUCUCCAGUGCAUUAAUUGAAUGUGAGCAGUGUUGCCUGCAGUGACGCUGCUGAAUUUAUUGCCCAAAGAGAACAUUGGGAUAACGAGACCAUUCCUUUACAAAUGGCUUCUGAAACAAAAAUCACUGCACUCAUAGCACCUAAUUUAAUUCAUCUUCUAGAUGAAGGCAGUAGUCAGUAGGAGAAUUUGAUGUUUAGCCCCAUUCUUAUGAAUAUUAAAAUCUAAUAAAAUGAUUCUUUGGUUCAUGAAUACUAUAAAUGAACAUUCAGAGCUCCAGCCCUAACAGUUACCAGAAGUUAUUUCCGUAGCUGUGUUCUUAUCAACAAAGACUCUUGCUUUCCUGCAUUUAAUUUACACAAAAUCUCUACAACAGAAUUGUGGUGGAACUCUCAUUUAAGGGAGAAAAACAUUAAUGAGUAUGGGCCAUGCCUGCCCUGAGCUGCACUUGGAGAACUCCACUGUGUGUCUGCAUGUGUGACUUGAGAAUUAACAUUUACAGCACCUGACAUUUGAAAUGGUGUAAUUAUGCUAAGAUACAUAAAUAGAAGCACAGCUUUUAGGUUCCUGUGUGAACAGAAUCCAAUUUCACUAUCAAAAUCAUGUAAAAAGCCUUUUCCUCUAAAAGACCAAAAUGAACCAACCUUUAUCUUUUCAUGCAGUCUUCAUUAAUAGGAGAAAAUUGUUAAAUAAUUAAAUCUGUCUCCCACAUUUCAGCCCUUCAGGGGCUCCCUUGUGGCACACAGAAUUCCUAAAUCUGAGACAGCCUCAGCUCCCAUGGGGGGCUGGACACUGAAGCUGGACCCAGCCUCUGCCCACACAAACAAUUUGCCAUUUCUGUAUGAGAUUUACACCUUGACAUCUAGCAAGAAUUACAGAAAAUACAAAAGCAAACAAUGUGGAGCUUGUGCAGUCUUAAUGGGUUUUUUUCAAUUAAUUCUGUUCAAAUCACCUUCAUAAAUACCAGAAAAAGAUGGGGCACUCAUGUGACCCUCAUAAAGGGCAAAUCCCUCAAGCAAGAUUUCAUUAGCUUUUUGAGACUUAAUUCUGUGUUUCCUGGAAAUGUGGAGAGAUCAAAUAUUCAUUGACCAGCAUUUUCCUCCCUUCACUUGUAAUGUACUUUGUAAAAAAAUUAAAAUCAGUUAUUUUGCUUCAAAGUGCCCUCAAAAGGCAUGAAGAUACCUGAAGCUGGAUCUGAAAUGGUUCUCGUAAGGAAAAGGAAAAGGUAGCUGAGAGAGUUUGCACUCAAAUCUAAAUGUUCACUGCAGUUUUAUGUUCUCUGUGCCUUCCUCAAAGAGCAGCUUUUAGUUCAAAAUUGCACAUUUUCCUUCAAGAGGGAUCCACUUGGUUGUGCUUGGUUGUACAAGAGUUCUACAGGUAAGUGAGAUUCUGCUGGAUCUCCACCUGUCUCCAUGUGCUGUUGUGUUUCAGGGUGUUUAGCUGAGGAUUUUUAUUUUCUGUAAUCAUUCAGGUAAGUCAUGCUUUAGGCCAAUUUCUGUUCUUUAGACUCCGUUGUUGUAGUGUGGAUGAAAAAAGGGAAUUCACUUGCUCUCUUUGCUAAUUGUAUCACAGCAAAUUGACACCAAAGGCUUUGCAAUCACUCCCUCAGUAACUCUGGAGUAGGAAUAAAGGCAGGAAAUUGUCACUGGGGUAGUGUGACUGUCACAGCACUGAACAACUGUUCCUGAGCCUCUGGAGAUGAUUGCUUCAAUCUCAAUAAAAGUAUAUGUCCUCCUCACUGUGCAGCAGUAUCUUGGAUGAUUCUGUGCUUUGUUAUGGAUUUAAUUCCACCCCCCUGAGAAAUGCUGUAUAAUAUUGUGGCUACAUAUAGAGUAAUAGGAUAUUUUGAGAGUAAAAUGUAUGUUGAUCUGCUUUAUUUAAACAAUUGAUUAUUGGAGGAGGCAGUGCCAUUUUUUGCAGUACCCUGUUUACGUGUGAGAAUUCUCUGAGAUGUGGCAAGUUGGUAAUUGGUGCCAGCAGACCUAUAACUGAGCUCUAACAUUCCUAGAAGGAUGUAAGUUUAAAUGUUGUGUCUGCCAGAAACACUUCUGCUCUUGUUACCAUGACUGAGCUGGAUGCAGCUUGUGAAGGAAAGAUGGAGAAAGGGAGAGUCUGAGUUUGGAUUUCUGACAUAACAGAGGAGUGAGAAUCAGUCCUACCUCUGUUUAAAAUGGUGUGUCCUGUUACAUUGUCAUGGCAGAGAAUGUUUGUACCCAAGUGUGGUUUCAUUGCUCAGUUCCCUCUUUCAGGCCCUGUGCAGAAUCCCCCCAAGCCUGAUGAGGGUGGGUUGCAGGGGUUGAUUUUUAAAUGCUGUUACACCUGCAGGGACUGGGACACUUCUCCUCUCCUGCUGCCGCCCAGGGCGGGCUGGAUCUUCCCCCUGGAUGGGCUGGAAGAGGGAACCCUUGUGCUGUGGGUGUAGCAGGCACAUGGGUUUGUGUUGCUGAUUGAUACAAAAAAUGGGAGGCCUGACCUGGAACAAGACUGCAGCUUAAUUCUGUGUUUGUGGAGAUGAUGGUUUUUAUGUCCAGACACCGAAGCGUUCACGUGAGGUGGGUUUUUUCCAAAAGCUGAGAAAUAAUGAAAAAUUAUUUCACUGAUCUGUUACAACAGCGCAGCAGCUGCUGAUCUGCAGUUCACUGAGAGAUUAACAAAGCUGGUCUAGUCACCUGCAGAACACAGAUAAAAAUUAGUAAGAAGUGGGAAAGUAAAUAAUGCAUGAACGUCCAAAGGUGAGAAGGUGAAAGAUGAGCAGCAACACAUUCUGGAGUAAGAAGUUAAGUUAGAAAUUCUAAUCAGUCAUUAAAAUAAAGGGUAAAGAUGGAAGAGUUGGCUCAGAGCAGAGGGUCAGUAGGACUUGAGCAGUGACUUGAAAUACUGGCAGAGGAAUGGAAUCCCUGAACUUCCCAGGUGUUUUGCUUGCAGACUCCCUUCAGAGUACAGCUGUUUGCAGGUAAAAGCUGUUCUAAAGUAGCAGCAUGGAAAUGCAGACUGUGAAUUCAGCCUUUAGAGAAAGGAGCUGUGCACAUUUAGGCCAGCAGGGAUGGAAUAGAGCACAAAUGCUCAUAGCCAGAUACAAAAGCAGGGAUUCUGCUGUUCACCUGAAGUUUUCCAGAGCAACCAGCUUCCCAGAAACCCAGAGCAGUCAGCCAAAUGAGCUCCCGCUUCAAACCAGAGCCCGGGGUGCUGCUAAAACACACCCCGGGAAAAUCAGCAUUAUUUCCAAAGGCACUGGUGGUUACUCUCUCUGGGAUGUUAAUCUGACUUGUGUUGCUUGUCCCCAGGAGUUUUGUAUCUCGGUCUCUGGUGAAUUCUCCUGCUCUGAGCCCGGCUGUGAAGCGCCUGGAGGAGGUUUCUGGGCCAAGGUCCCUGCAGUGAUGCCAGGAUGCCCAUCCCAAGCUGUGCAUCCUCAGUGGAAAAACCUGGGAUGAAAUGCACUGUGCAGGUGUUUUCCAAGGGUUCUGUCUCUGCUUGUGUUUUCUCACAAGAGCAGCCCUGGCUGGAGGAUUGGGUGGCUCAAGGGGCCAGGCAGAGCUUUCCCCUUGAUCCCAGCUGUGCUGAAGCCGUGGCUGCCUCAUCUGGGAAGAGCCGAGACUCCAGCAGGGGGUUCCCAGCGUGGGCAGGAGAGGCUGAGGAGCAGCAGGGCUGAGGAGAGGACACCUGGAGCUCUGUGCAGUGGGAAAGGGCAGCCCUGGAGCCUGGCUCCCACAGCUGAUCCCAGGUUUAGAACAUCAGAUGACUCCUAGCAGAUGUGAAAUGCUUCUAGAAGCCAAACAGUCGUUCUGUUCAUGCCCUUUGGACCACUCUCUUGAUGAAAUGGCCCCCAGGACCUGUCCCAGCUCUCCCUGGCUACUUCUGCACCAGCAAACUCCAGAGGCCCCUGAGCCCAGAGAUGUGGAGUGCAGCCAGCUCUUUGUAAGAAUAACUAAAAGAAGGCAGAUAACAAACACUGCCAGUUCCCCUCACUGUCAUCAACAGUGAAGUACUUUGCUGAAGCAAAAUGUUAAGAAGCUGAGACUGGACAUUUGAAUACUUAAAAGUUACUGAAUUUUCUGCCCAACUGGAUGUGGGAAAAGAUGCAGAAGAUAAUGCUCAUGUCUUACUUGUUCUCAAGAGCUCAAUAAGAGAUGAAAAAACUCCAGAAAUACAAAUCUAAAAUGGGUGGAGAGGUUCAGUGCCCAGCUCUGCAGUACUGCCUUGGAGGUGCCUCCUUCUGGCUUUUGUGCCUUGUUUCAUGGGGAGCCUCUCAACAGAGUGGAUUUAACGUGGGGCAAUUCUGGGAGCUUCCCUCCAGCCUGGUGCUCCAUGGAGCGGGCUGGGCUAAGGGAUUUUGGCAAACAGCAGUGAGCUUCCAGAGCAAGGAGAGAAAGGCAGCAGGUGGAAG
This is a non-coding RNA of Taeniopygia guttata (zebra finch), 5576 nucleotides long. The record is from RefSeq and is a predicted model, not a curated record. NCBI's taxonomy places the organism in Eukaryota, Metazoa, Chordata, Aves, Passeriformes, Estrildidae.